RNAcentral lists this long non-coding RNA (617 nucleotides) under Gossypium raimondii (Peruvian cotton). RNAcentral's name for it is "long non-coding RNA (GRAI_LNC003195)". The record is from RNAcentral. Lineage: Eukaryota; Viridiplantae; Streptophyta; Magnoliopsida; Malvales; Malvaceae.
AAAAAAUCCACACGGACGUGUGACACGGUCUUGUGGCCAAACACGGGCCCUUACAUGAUCGUGUCUUUUUUUUAACCCCCAAACCCUAACUUCUUUUUACCUUCAUCUUUUCCAAAAUUUCACCCACAAACCCUAGCUACCGCUCCCUACAACCGCCCCUUUUUGGCCAUUACUCACCACCCUCGCAUCCCUCUCUUCCUUCCCUUCUCUCAUUGAAACCCCCAUCACACUACCUCUCUCUUUUUUCCCUCUUUACCCGAGUUCUUCUCCCGUCAGUCGUCCCAAUAGCCCCUCCUCUUCACCCUUCACCAAGCUCCCUCGCACCCACACUCGAGCACCCUAACCCGCACCCUCCUCACCUCGCCCUUCCCUUUCACUUUCUCUUCGAACCCCAACAGCACCCUUCGCCUCUUCCUUUCCCCUUCUCCCUGUCCGACCAACACUCAAACCCCAUGCCAUAGCCCACCUUUUGUGCACCACCGCCGCCUCCCACAUUCCCUGUACCUCCCCGCGCGAAAUAUCUGUCGCCACCCCCAUUCCAUCAUCAAUUAACCACCGUUUUCCCUUCUUUGUCCUUAUUUUAUUUUUAUUUCUUUGUUUAUUAUUCUUAAUUGUUU